GAUGAACGCUAGCUACAGGCUUAACACAUGCAAGUCGAGGGGCAGCACAUGAAGUAGCAAUACGGAUGGUGGCGACCGGCGCACGGGUGAGUAACGCGUAUGCAAUCUACCUACAACAAGGGAAAUAGCUCGUUAGAAAGACGGACUAAUACCCUAUAAAACAGGGGUCCCGCAGUGGGAAUAUUUGUUAAAGAUUUAUCGGUUGUAGAUGAGCAUGCGUUCCAUUAGCUUGUUGGUGAGGUAACGGCCCACCAAGGCAACGAUGGAUAGGGGAACUGAGAGGUUUAUCCCCCACACUGGUACUGAGACACGGACCAGACUCCUACGGGAGGCAGCAGUGAGGAAUAUUGGUCAAUGGAGGCAACUCUGAACCAGCCACGUCGCGUGAAGGAAGACGGCCCUACGGGUUGUAAACUUCUUUUGUAAGGGAAUAAAGGUGCAGUACGUGUACUGUUUUGCAUGUACCUUACGAAUAAGGAUCGGCUAACUCCGUG
Molecule: ribosomal RNA, 494 nt
Filed under: uncultured bacterium
Lineage: Bacteria
Description: bacterial SSU rRNA
Rfam family: Bacterial small subunit ribosomal RNA
Source: RNAcentral